RNAcentral lists this ribosomal RNA (1245 nucleotides) under metagenome. RNAcentral's name for it is "bacterial LSU rRNA". It matches the Rfam family "Bacterial large subunit ribosomal RNA", at positions 1564 to 2818 of the family's 2925-position model. The record is from RNAcentral.
UGAAUACGAGACGCUAAGGCGUCGAAGUAGUGUAUGUCAUACUUCCAAGAAAAGCUUGCACUGUCAUAGAUAAAAAACGCCUGUACCAUAACCGACACAGGUGGGUAGGUAGAGUAUACUAAGGGGCGCGAGAUAACUCUCUCUAAGGAACUCGGCAAAAUAACUCCGUAACUUCGGGAGAAGGAGUGCCUUAUUAUUAAGGCUGCAAUAACAAGAUCCAAGCAACUGUUUAUCAAAAACACAGGUCUCCGCUAAGUCGUAAGACGAUGUAUGGGGGCUGACGCCUGCCCAGUGCCAGAAGGUUAAAGAAGUUGGUUAGCAUUUGCGAAGCUGAUAACUGAAGCCCUGGUGAACGGCGGCCGUAACAAUAACGGUCCUAAGGUAGCGAAAUUCCUUGUCGGGUAAGUUCCGACCCGCACGAAAGGCGUAAUGAUUUGGAUACUGUCUCGGAGAGGGGCUCGGUGAAAUAGACUUGUCUGUGAAGAUGCGGACUACCUGCACCAGGACAGAAAGACCCUAUGAAGCUUUACUGUAACUUGAAAUUGAAAUUGGACUUUAUUCGCGCAGCAUAGGUGGGAGGCGUUGAUUAUAAUCUUGUGGGAUUAUUGGAGCCAUCAGUGAGAUACCACUCUUGUAAUGUUAGAUUUCUAACUUUGAAUCAUUAUCUGGUCAAAGAACAGUUUCAGGCGGGCAGUUUGACUGGGGCGGUCGCCUCCUAAACGGUAACGGAGGCGUACAAAGGUUUCCUCUGAACGGUUAGAAAUCGUAUCUAGAGUGUAAAGGCAUAAGGAAGCUUGACUGUGAGACCUACAAGUCGAGCAGGGACGAAAGUCGGUCUUAGUGAUCUGACGGUACUGAGUGGAAAGGCCGUCACUCAACGGAUAAAAGUUACUCUAAGGAUAACAGGCUGAUCUCCCCCAAGAGUUCACAUCGACGGGGAGGUUUGGCACCUCGAUGUCGGCUCAUCGCAUCCUGGGGCGGUAGUACGUCCCAAGGGUUGGGCUGUUCGCCCAUGAAAGCGGUACGCGAGCUGGGUUCAGAACGUCGUGAGACAGUUCGGUCCAUAUCCGGUGUAGGCGUUAGAAUAUUGAGAGGAGCCUUCUUUAGUACGAGAGGACCGAGAAGGACAUACCUCUGGUGUACCAGUUAUCGUGCCAACGGUAAACGCUGGGUAGCUAUGUAUGGAGUGGAUAACCGCUGAAAGCAUCUAAGUGGGAAGCCCACCUCAAGAUAAGUAUUCUCAUC